ACACCAGAUGCCCAACGUUAGGGGGGUGGCUAUGCGGUCAUCUGAAAGACAGAGAAGGGGUUACAUGACUUCUUUAUUUCUGAAUGAAUUUAUUGGAUGACCAAGGAAGGUAUGGGCCAGGGUUCAACAUUUGCCUAGUUUGUGGUGCCUUUGAACAAUGGAGACGGCCCCAUCUCUUGGGAUUAUUAACUCUACUGUCCUCUGGUGAACUAAAUAGGGCUUCACCCAACACUAACAGUAUCUGUCUCCUUUAGGUUUUUGUGACACUGCUUUUUCAAGAAUCUCCUCUUGUAAUUUCAUGUGAACUGGAAUGACCUCCAGGAAUUGAUGCAGAGUGAGAGGAGCAGAACCAGGAGAACAUUGUACACAGAGACUGAGACACUGUGGCACAAUCGAAUGUAAUGAACUCCUACAUUAGUGGCAAUGCAGUGACCCAGAACAAUCCAGAGGAACUUGGGAGAAAGAAUGCUAUCCACAUCCAGAGGAAGAACUGUGGGAGCAGAAACACAGAAGAAAAAAUAUGUGAUCCAACAUGUAGUGCAAUAGGGAUGUGAUUAGUGUUUUGAUGUUAAAGGAUCGCUCUAUUGCAAAUAUCAAUAACAUGGAAAAUGUUGAACAAUGAUACAUGUAUAAUAUAGUGGAACUGGUUUUUUUUUUUGGCUUUGGGAGGGGGUAGGAGAGAGUGGGGGA
Molecule: long non-coding RNA, 690 nt
Filed under: Monodelphis domestica (gray short-tailed opossum)
Lineage: Eukaryota; Metazoa; Chordata; Mammalia; Didelphimorphia; Didelphidae
Description: lncRNA (ENSMODG00000032796.2)
Source: RNAcentral